RNAcentral lists this ribosomal RNA (322 nucleotides) under uncultured bacterium. RNAcentral's name for it is "bacterial SSU rRNA". It matches the Rfam family "Bacterial small subunit ribosomal RNA", at positions 8 to 334 of the family's 1533-position model. The record is from RNAcentral.
AGGGUUCGAUUAUGGCUCAGGAUGAACGCUGGCGGCGUGCCUAAUACAUGCAAGUCGAACGCUUCACAUAUGUGAAGAGUGGCGAACGGGUGAGUAAUACAUAAGUAACCUGGCCUUUACAGGGGGAUAACUAUUGGAAACGAUAGCUAAGACCGCAUAGGUGUCAUAACCGCAUGGAGAUGAUAUGAAAUAUGCUACGGCAUAGGUAGAGGAUGGACUUAUGGCGCAUUAGCUAGUUGGAGGGGUAACGGCCCACCAAGGCGACGAUGCGUAGCCGACCUGAGAGGGUGACCGGCCACACUGGGACUGAGACACGGCCCAG